UUUAUUGGUAUCAGAGCUACGAUUUAGUUGAGUCUCAGACUUAACAUAGCGUGUAAGAGUCUAGCUAUACAUGCCAUUAUAUAACCUGUGAUAGUGUGAUAUCUCCUGACCAUUUUAAAACAUGUUUUCUUAUAGUAAUGAUAUCCAAUCGAGCUGAUUCCGAUGAAGUAGAGAGCAACAUUCAAGUAUUCAUUCAUGGAGUAGCUUUGAGCUAUGUGAGGCCCGUAUCUGAUGGCCGGGGACGAGAGGCUAAGGACGAAGCCGACU
Molecule: long non-coding RNA, 267 nt
Filed under: Gossypium barbadense (sea-island cotton)
Lineage: Eukaryota; Viridiplantae; Streptophyta; Magnoliopsida; Malvales; Malvaceae
Description: long non-coding RNA (GBAR_LNC008175)
Source: RNAcentral